UACGAAGGGAGCUAGCGUAGUUCGGAAUUACUGGGCGUAAAGAGUAUGUAGGCGGCUAGAUAAGUUAAAUGUGAAAGCCCAUGGCCCAACUUUGGAAUUGCAUUUAAAACUAUUUAGCUAGAGUAUGAUAAGAGGAAGGUGAAUACAUAGUGUAGAGGUGAAAUUCGUAGAUAUUAUGUAGAACACCAGUUGCGAAAGCGGCUUUCUGGAUCAUUACUGACGCUGAGAUACGAAAGUAUGGGUAGCGAAGAGGAUUAGAUACCCUCGUAGUCCAUACUGUAAACGAUGAUUAUUAGAUGUGGGGAAUUAUUUCUCUGUAUCACAGCUAACGCGUUAAAUAAUCCGCCUGGGGAGUACGACCGCAAGGUUAAAACUCAAAUGAAUUGACGGGGACCCGCACAAGCGGUGGAGCAUGUGGGUUAAUUCGAAGCAACGCGCAGAACCUUACCAACCCUUGACAUGUUCGUCGCGAGACUAGGAAAUUAGUCUCUUCGGUUCGGCCGGACGAAACACAGGUGCUGCAUGGCUGUCGUCAGCUCGUGUCGUGAGAUGUUGGGUUAAGUCCCGCACCGAGCGCACCCCCUUCGUCUUAGUGGCCAUCACGGUUCAGCUGGGCACUCUAAUGGAACUGCCGGUGCUAAACAGGAGGAAGGUGGGGAUGACGUCAAGUCCUCAUGGCCCUUACGGGCUGGGCUACACACGUGCUACAAUGGCAAGUACAAUGAGCUGCCGCACAGCGAGGUGUAGCCAAUCUCAAAAACAUGUCUCAGUUCGGAUUGCACUCUGCAACUCGAGUGCAUGAAGCUGGAAUCGCUAGUAAUCGCGGAUCAGCGCGCCACGGUGAAUACGUUCCCGGGUCU
This 860-nucleotide ribosomal RNA is filed under the name uncultured bacterium. RNAcentral describes it as "SSU rRNA". It matches the Rfam family "Bacterial small subunit ribosomal RNA", at positions 524 to 1381 of the family's 1533-position model. The record is from RNAcentral.